GCUUAACACAUGCAAGUCGAGCGAGAAUCGUUUUGCUGAAGGCUUCGGUCUGAUGCAGAAUGAGGAAAGCGGCGAACGGGUGAGUAACGCGUGGGCAACCUGGCCUUAAGAAAAGGAUAGCCCCCGGAAACGGGGAGUAAUACUUUAUGAGAAUAGAAAAGGGCAUCCUAUUUGUAUUCAAAGCACAAGCGCUUAAGGAUGGGCCCGCGUAUCAUUAGCUAGUUGGUGAGAUAACAGCCCACCAAGGCAACGAUGAUUAGCCGGUCUGAUAGGGCGAACGGCCACAUUGGAACUGAGAGACGGUCCAAACUCCUACGGAAGGCAGCAGUGGGGAAUAUUGCGCAAUGGAGAAGAACUCUGACGCAGCAAUACCGCGUGAGCGAAGAAGGUCUUCGGAUCGUAAAGCUCUGUUAUCAGGUAAGAAGAAAAUGACGGUACCUGAUGAGCAAGUCCCGGCUAACUACGUGCCAGCAGCCGCCGUAA
Molecule: ribosomal RNA, 483 nt
Filed under: uncultured bacterium
Lineage: Bacteria
Description: partial 16S ribosomal RNA
Rfam family: Bacterial small subunit ribosomal RNA
Source: RNAcentral